GAUUAAGCCAUGCAUGUGUCAGUUCACAUCUUUGUAUGGUGAAACCGCGAAUGGCUCAUUACAACAGUUAUAAUUUACUUGAUGUUGACUAUCCUACUUGGAUAACUGCGGUAAUUCUGGAGCUAAUACAUGCAUCAAAGCUCUGACUCCCUCGGAGCGCAUUUAUUAGAUCAAAGCCAAUCGACUUCGGUCGUUUGUUGUUGACUCUGAAUAACUCAGCUGAUCGCAUGGUCUUGUACCGGCGACAUAUCUUUCAAGUAUCUGCCUUAUCAACUUUCGAUGGUAGUUUAUGUGCCUACCAUGGUUGCAACGGGUAACGGAAAAUUAGGGUUUGAUUCCGGAGAGGGAGCCUGAGAAACGGCUACCACAUCUAAGGAAGGCAGCAGGCGCGCAAAUUACCCAAUCGCCGACGGCGGAGGUAGUGACUAACAAUAACGAGACCGUCUUCUAUGAGGCCGGUUAUCGGAAUGGGUACAAUUUAAACCCUUAACGAGGAUCUAUGAGAGGGCAAGUC
Molecule: ribosomal RNA, 514 nt
Filed under: Poikilolaimus piniperdae
Lineage: Eukaryota; Metazoa; Nematoda; Chromadorea; Rhabditida; Rhabditidae
Description: SSU rRNA
Rfam family: Eukaryotic small subunit ribosomal RNA
Source: RNAcentral